AUAAAAGGCUUCCAAUGAAAAUGACUGACUACUAGCCUGUUCGUUAAUAAGAGGAAGUUCAUGAAGAAAGGAUGGUCGUUUCUAAAGCACAAGUACUGGAGGCGAUCAGAGGAGCAGAGCAUCGGAUCAUUCAGACACUGACACAGCUAGACACCUUCAACCAUCGAUUCAAGUCAAUAUUACACGAUGGUAGUAAACAACAGAAUGCAGGACAAGGAGUUCAGGACAUGGAGACAUACUAGUUUCAUCUGAAAGAGGCUGAAGUUACCAUUCGCGUGGAUGACAAACACAAGACCUACUUGAAUGAUGUUGACCUUUUUCGUCUAAACGCCGAUAUCGACAAAGUACGCCUAAGCGUUGCUCCCGUAUCACGCCUACUUUACCCCAUUUUCGAUGACAAGGCACAUCCACCUGAACCUGACACUGUCCCCUACCUGCAGGGUGGAAAAAUGCCCACCUACCUCUUAGCCGCACGAAAGCCAUUGUUCAAGCUUUCAAAUACCGCAACCUUAUUGCGAGUCUGUGUCUGGACAUCUGAUCGGGUUCAUGUAAACUCCUCGUAAACACACUGGCACAAGCUUGACUUGAUAUA
Molecule: long non-coding RNA, 592 nt
Filed under: Dunaliella salina
Lineage: Eukaryota; Viridiplantae; Chlorophyta; Chlorophyceae; Chlamydomonadales; Dunaliellaceae
Description: long non-coding RNA (DSAL_LNC000464)
Source: RNAcentral